Molecule: ribosomal RNA, 183 nt
Filed under: uncultured bacterium
Lineage: Bacteria
Description: partial 16S ribosomal RNA
Rfam family: Bacterial small subunit ribosomal RNA
Source: RNAcentral
CGGCCCAGACUCCUACGCGGUAGGCAGCAGUGGGGAAUAUUGCACAAUGGGCGCAAGCCUGAUGCAGCCAUGCCGCGUGUAUGAAGAAGGCCUUCGGGUUGUAAACCUCUGUCUUCGGGGACGAAUAAAUGACGGUACCCGAGGAGGAAGCCACGGCUAACUACGUGCCAGCAGCCGCGGUAA